GACGAACGCUGGCGGCGUGCCUAAUACAUGCAAGUAGAACGCACAGUUUAUACCGUAGCUUGCUACACCAUAGACGGUGAGGUGCGAACGGGUGAGUAACGCGUAGGUAACCUGCCUGGGAGCGGGUGAGAACUAUUGGAAACGAAAGCUAAUACCGCAUAAUAUUCAUUAUUGCAUGGUAAUUGAUGGAAAGAUUCUAUUUCAUCAAUACCAGAUGGACCUACGUUGUAGUAGCUAGUAGGAGGGGUAACGGCCCACCAAGGCGACGAUACAUAGCCGAGCUGAGAGGGUGAUCGCCCACCCUGGACUGGAGACAGGGCCCAGACUCCUACGGGGGGCGCAGGAGGGAAUUUUCGGGAAUGGGCGGAAGGCUGGCCGGGCCACGCCGCGGUGGUGGAUGAGGUUUUUGGGUCGUUAAACUUUUUUUUAAGGGAAGAACGGGUGUUGGAAUGAACAGUUCACACUGUGACGGUAUCUUACCAGAAAGCGACGGCUAACUACGUG
This 504-nucleotide ribosomal RNA is filed under the name uncultured bacterium. RNAcentral describes it as "partial 16S ribosomal RNA". It matches the Rfam family "Bacterial small subunit ribosomal RNA", at positions 28 to 507 of the family's 1533-position model. The record is from RNAcentral.